This is a long non-coding RNA of Rhipicephalus sanguineus (brown dog tick), 396 nucleotides long. RefSeq lists it as uncharacterized. The record is from RefSeq and is a predicted model, not a curated record. The transcript has 3 exons. Lineage: Eukaryota; Metazoa; Arthropoda; Arachnida; Ixodida; Ixodidae.
AGGUGCUCUUUCGACUUCUACAAGUGAACAAGCGAAAUUGUCCUUUCCAGCCUGGAUAUGAAUGCUGUAGCCCUUGUUAAUACUGUGAUGGCCGCAAUUCUUGUGGUGUUUCCAUCCGAAGCAACGGAGGGAAAUUGCCGACCGUAUAGCUGUGGCUACCCAAAUCAUUGCUCGGUCACUCCAACUUUUGGAACAUCCCAUAACUGCGGUAUGUGCAAUACAUGGUUCUACAACUCAACCUCUCGCAAAUGUCAAGACAUUAACAAUGGGAGAUGCAUCGACGGCUGUAACGGAUUUGCGAAAAAUUACGAUUGCGAAAGAGCGUGCGGUAAUCGUUGAGGAAAAUAAAAUGGUUUUUCAGUUUAAUGUGCAGAAUAAGAAAUAAACCCUUGGUCC